UACAUAAACAAUAAUCGACGGCAGGUAGUC
This 30-nucleotide non-coding RNA is filed under the name Mus musculus (house mouse). The record is from RNAcentral. Lineage: Eukaryota; Metazoa; Chordata; Mammalia; Rodentia; Muridae.